CGGUCCUAAGGUAGCGAAAUUCCUUGUCGGGUAAGUUCCGACCUGCACGAAUGGCGUAACGAUCUCCACACUGUCUCGGCCAGAGACUCGGUGAAAUUGAAGUCGCGGUGAAAAUGCCGUGUACCCGCAGAAAGACGGAAAGACCCUGUGCACCUUUACUAUAGCUUGACAUUGGGAUUUGAGCCUGCAUGUGUAGCAUAGGUGGGAGGCUGUGAACUCUGUACGCCAGUAUGGAGGGAGCCAUCGUUGAAAUACCACCCUUGUUUGUUCAGGUCCCUAACUCCUUGCCGUGAUCCGGUAGGAGGACAGUGUCUGGUGGGUAGUUUGACUGGGGCGGUCGCCUCCCAAAAUGUAACGGAGGCAUGCAAAGGUUCCCUCAGGCUGAUUGGAAACCAGCCGUCGAGUGCAAACGCAAAAGGGAGCUUGACUGCAAGAGAGACAUCUCGAGCAGGUACGAAAGUAGGUGUUAGUGAUCCGGUGAUCCCGAAUGGAAGGGUCAUCGCUCAUUGGAUAAAAGGUACGCCGGGGAUAACAGGCUGAUCGCAUCCAAGAGUUCACAUCGACGAUGCGGUUUGGCACCUCGAUGUCGGCUCAUCACAUCCUGGGGCUGAAGCAGGUCCCAAGGGUACGGCUGUUCGCCGUUUAAAGUGGUACGCGAGCUGGGUUUAAAACGUCGUGAGACAGUUUGGUCCCUAUCUUCUGUGGGCGUAGGAGAAUUGAAAGGGCCUGUCCCUAGUACGAGAGGACCGGGAUGGACACACCACUGGUGGACCUGUUGUCGUGCCAACGGCACAGCAGGGUAGCUAUGUGUGGAAGGGAUAACCGCUGAAAGCAUCUAAGCGGGAAGCCUGCCUUAAGAUAAGUUCUCCCUGACGCAAGUCCUGAAGGGCCGAGGUAGACGACCUCGUUGAUAGGCUGGAGGUGGAAGCCCUGUGAGGGGUGGAGCUGACCAGUACUAAUAGC
Molecule: ribosomal RNA, 963 nt
Filed under: human gut metagenome
Description: bacterial LSU rRNA
Rfam family: Bacterial large subunit ribosomal RNA
Source: RNAcentral